GACGAACGCUGGCGGCGUGCUUAACACAUGCAAGUCGAACGGAAAGGCCUUUUCGGCGGUACUCGAGUGGCGAACGGGUGAGUAACACGUGGGUGAUCUGCCCUGCACUCUGGGAUAAGCCUGGGAAACUGGGUCUAAUACCGGAUAGGACCGCACUUUAGUGUGUGUGGUGGAAAGUUUUUUCGGUGUAGGAUGAGCCCGCGGCCUAUCAGCUUGUUGGUGGGGUAAUGGCCUACCAAGGCGGCGACGGGUAGCCGGACUGAGAGGUUGGUCGGCCACAUUGGGACUGAGAUACGGCCCAGACUCCUACGGGAGGCAGCAGUGGGGAAUAUUGCACAAUGGGCGCAAGCCUGAUGCAGCGACGCCGCGUGGGGGAUGACGGCCUUCGGGUUGUAAACUCCUUUCGCCAGGGACGAAGCGUUUUGUGACGGUACCUGGAGAAGAAGCACCGGCUAACUACGUG
This 463-nucleotide ribosomal RNA is filed under the name uncultured bacterium. Its description in RNAcentral is "partial 16S ribosomal RNA". It matches the Rfam family "Bacterial small subunit ribosomal RNA", at positions 28 to 507 of the family's 1533-position model. The record is from RNAcentral.